Molecule: ribosomal RNA, 227 nt
Filed under: Triticum aestivum (bread wheat)
Lineage: Eukaryota; Viridiplantae; Streptophyta; Magnoliopsida; Poales; Poaceae
Description: partial small subunit ribosomal RNA
Source: RNAcentral
AGAGUGUAACCCAUUUUGGUUGCAAAAAUUGGGAUGCAUUUUGCAAGAUGUAUGGUCUUGAUGAGGGUAUGGUUGUCACCAUGGAUCUUGGUGAUCCUACAAUCGAGCAAGAGACACCUUCGAUUUGGGUCUUUGCGGAUACACCUCCAGUUCUUCCCUCAUCUUAUUUUCAUUCUUCAAAGAAUGUGCGGAAGAUGGUAGACAGAACGUACUACACCGAAGGCUCC